RNAcentral lists this long non-coding RNA (994 nucleotides) under Homo sapiens (human). RNAcentral's name for it is "HSALNT0261476". The record is from RNAcentral. Lineage: Eukaryota; Metazoa; Chordata; Mammalia; Primates; Hominidae.
GGACUGCGUCACUGCAGAGAGAGUUGCAGAAGUGGGGCCUGUCCUGCAGCCCAGGAAGGUCGUUGCCCUCACUCCCCAGACCCAGGGCUCUCCAUUGCACCCAAUCCAUCAUGUCCUUCAGCUUCUGAUGGAAUCCAAGAGGGCACAGAAAAGACAUAGCAGCCAGGCACGGUAUCAAGUGGCUAAAUCAGCGUUUUUUUGCAGAGGUCAGAAGUGUGGGAGAAGGUGGGGGCUGUGGGGAAAAGGGGCUGGAAUAAGGAGGAAUGUGCGAUGCGACUCAGGAUUAGAGGCCAUGGGAGGGGAAGAGGCAGCGGGCCGGGAGUAGCAGGCUGGUCCGUCCACAUUCCAUCAGGCCCUGGGAAACUUGGAUGCCAGCACUCCCUCAUGGCCCUCCACAGACCCCACCAGGGUCUAUGGGAGGAUUUGUGAGCCUGGAGUCUCCACCCACCCAUUAGAGAGGAGGGGGCUUCUGGAAGCUUCAUGAGGGCUCCAAAUACUGGACACUCAGCUAUGUUCACAGACCAGGAGGAAGUAGACUCGACUCUUGACUAGGGACACCAGGAGGGGAGAGGCCAACGUCUGUCUCGUUUUCAGUUCCUUUCCCCACCCCUGCUCCUCCCAAUCCAUCCGUUCCCAGGCCCUCAAGACACAAAAUUCCUGAAAGCUCCAACUCCCAUCUACGUCAUCUUCGGCGUCCCCUGAUAACCCUCCCUCCCCCAUUACCCCAGGCCCUGGAAUUGGGGAAGGGUCUUCCCUCCCUGACUUCUACGACCCCUUCCUUGUUCCUCUGCCCCCAUUCCCACCCGGUUCCAUUCGGAGCCUUGGUCUCUGGACACCAAAGGUGAAAAUGUGAGGACUCUCUGCCUACGAUCCUUCGUCCCCUAAAACCCUCCAAGUACCUUGGCCCCGAAAGCUCAGAGUCGAGGGGAAUCUCCCCGCUAUAAUCUUUGGGUCCCUGGAUCCCAAGUCCCCCGUCUCCAAAACUAGGAUUCGG